AUGGAAGGGCCAUCGCUCAACGGAUAAAGGUACUCCGGGGAUAACAGGCUGAUACCGCCCAAGAGUUCAUAUCGACGGCGGUGUUUGGCACCUCGAUGUCGGCUCAUCACAUCCUGGGGCUGAAGUAGGUCCCAAGGGUAUGGCUGUUCGCCAUUUAAAGUGGUACGCGAGCUGGGUUUAGAACGUCGUGAGACAGUUCGGUCCCUAUCUGCCGUGGGCGCUGGAGAACUGAGGGGGCUGCUCCUAGUACGAGAGGACCGGAGUGGACGCAUCACUGGUGUUCGGGUUGUCAUGCCAAUGGCACUGCCCGGUAGCUAAAUGCGGAAGAGAUAAGGCCGAUCGCA
This 344-nucleotide ribosomal RNA is filed under the name Escherichia coli. RNAcentral's name for it is "bacterial LSU rRNA". It matches the Rfam family "Bacterial large subunit ribosomal RNA", at positions 2433 to 2779 of the family's 2925-position model. The record is from RNAcentral. Lineage: Bacteria; Pseudomonadati; Pseudomonadota; Gammaproteobacteria; Enterobacterales; Enterobacteriaceae.